Molecule: ribosomal RNA, 259 nt
Filed under: uncultured bacterium
Lineage: Bacteria
Description: partial 16S ribosomal RNA
Rfam family: Bacterial small subunit ribosomal RNA
Source: RNAcentral
GUCCUAGCCGUAAACGAUGGGCACUAGGUGUGGGGAGGAAUUCUCUCCGUGCCGCAGCUAACGCAUUAAGUGCCCCGCCUGGGGAGUACGGCCGCAAGGCUAAAACUCAAAGGAAUUGACGGGGCCCGCACAAGCGGCGGAGCAUGCGGAUUAAUUCGAUGCAACGCGAAGAACCUUACCAAGGCUUGACAUAUACGAGAACGGGCGAGAGAUCGUCAACUCUUUGGACACUCGUAAACAGGUGGUGCAUGGUUGUCGU